GUCUAUGGCCAUGCUACCCUGAAUGUGCCCGAUCUCGUCUGAUCUCGGAAGCUAAGCAGGGCCGGGCCUGGUUAGUGCUUGGAUGGGAGACCACCUAGGAAUACCAAGUGCUGCAGGCU
This 119-nucleotide ribosomal RNA is filed under the name Pteropus alecto (black flying fox). Lineage: Eukaryota; Metazoa; Chordata; Mammalia; Chiroptera; Pteropodidae. The record is from RNAcentral. RNAcentral also lists the same sequence under 1 other name.